This is a long non-coding RNA of Falco peregrinus (peregrine falcon), 1907 nucleotides long. RefSeq lists it as uncharacterized. NCBI's taxonomy places the organism in Eukaryota, Metazoa, Chordata, Aves, Falconiformes, Falconidae. The record is from RefSeq and is a predicted model, not a curated record. The transcript has 3 exons.
AUUUAUUUUACCGACGUUUGGUAUAAAAAUUCCUUAGAAGCUAGAAUAUUGGUUAAACAGACACAAACGAGUUGACCGAGUUCCUUAAUGGACAAAAAGUCUUUUUUUUUAAAUGAAGUUAAAAGAAAAUUCAGCAUAAUACGUUCUUCCAUGAAUAAAUGAAAGGCUACAAAACCACCUCAAUAAAGUAAAGAUAUUUGUUGCAAAGUAUUUCUUACAUUGCAAAAUAAAUGCAGAUUUUGUAAAAUGGAGCGGGGGGGAUUUGCAAAGGGUCUUUACUGAGAUUUUCAGGCCUCCAGUAUUAGUGGAAUUAAGGUUGGGGUCACUGGACUGGUCACUGGUGUCAGAUGUUAUCGACUCAUUCAUUUCCUGCAAGGGACAUCAGCCUUUCAAGUUUUGUGGAAGGUAGAGAGCUGCUGCCAGCUGGGAACUCUCCGGGAAAAAAAAAAAAAAAAAAGAAAAAAAAAAAAGAAAGAAAAAAAAAAGAACCCAACCCACUAAUACCCUUCCAAAAUUCAUUCGCAAAGAAUCGGGGGGAGGGGAAAAGCCAAGAGGAUAAAGGGGGAAAAAGCCCUACAGAACAAGCCAGUUUUGUGGAAAAAUUAGUUUUAUGGUAAUACAGUUCUCAUAUUAAAAAGUGUAUUUCUAGCCUUACAUUUCGCUAGAUUGAUGCUAAUUUUGGUAAAGCCAUUAGGAAGACGAUGCUGCGGCUUCCUAAUGCACAGCAAGAGCUCACUUGAAACUGUAACCAAAACCAGUGGUGUUGGAUUUCCAAUUUGUCAACUUCCUAAAACUUUUACAGUCCUAACUCUAGUUUCUUCUAUGCCCCAAAACAAAGAAGGACCCCACCUCCAAAAAACAAAACAAAGAAAAAAAAAAACCCAAAACCCCGACCAACCACCAAACAAACGCCCGACCCGCGUGCAUUUGAAACAAAACGCGUUUUACACUUGAAAGCAGAGCUCGGGGUGCUGCCGCGACUUCCCAUUUCAAAGCACAGCCAACAUUUCUCGCCGACGGGCAGGCAGGAAAAGCAGGAAAGGCGCCGGCGAGCCCCUGCCCCCUCUUCUUCACUUGCCGGGGCCGCUCGCUCUGCGCCGCGGCCGCCGCCCCACGCACGACAGCGCCAGCCCACGCGCGCCGCUCCCGCCGCCGUGCCCGGGAAUUAAGUUCAUCCGAGUCAGUGGGACACAAGUGCUGCAGUACCUCAGUUUUAGAGAUACAAAGUCAGCCAUGUAAGACGCUAUUAGAGAAGACUGACCUGAGCCUGAGGAGACCUUCUUGAAUGACCUCAUCGUCUUCUGAGGAACCUAAAAUCAGAGAGCUGGAGUCAGUACUGUGUACACUGUACCUGAGUACCAUAUUUAAUUACCUCUUCUCCAGUUUAAUGGCUCAUUAGAAGGCCAUAAAAUGCCAGGGCAUUGACUCUGUGAAGUGACCUGUAAACUUAUUAACUGUUUGAGACUUACCUAGCUCAUCAGAACCGCAAUGAGAUAAACAAGGCACAAGAUAAAAUCAGCUGCUGUUUAAUUUUUUUCUUUCCCAAGCCUCCAUAAAGGAGCUACACAGGUGAUGACAACAGAGGGAAAAGACACAGAUUUGCAGGAUAUUGGAAGGUGUUUGUUUCCUUUAUCAAUAUUUAAUUGCAAUAGGUAACCUAAGAACUAGUCAGUUGUCUUUACUACGCUUAAAUUGUACAAUUUAAACAGUCAGUCAUACUUUGUAUAUGCUUUAAGAAAACAAUAAUUCUUUGGGACUCUUUCAUCGUCAAAAUUGUAACUCGAUGCCAAUUUAUGAUCAUCAAUAGAAAAAUGCUUCCAAUUAUGCCAGUUACAUAACCACAGAGCAUAAUAUGUAAUAGUAUUAAAAUCUAGGUCUCUAUCUGAAUAAAAUCAGUCAUAAAAAUA